RNAcentral lists this small RNA (113 nucleotides) under Marmota monax (woodchuck). The record is from RNAcentral. Lineage: Eukaryota; Metazoa; Chordata; Mammalia; Rodentia; Sciuridae.
GCCAGGCGCAGUGGCGCACACCUGUCAUCCUAGCAGCUCAGGAGGCUGAGGCAGGAGGAUCACAAAUUGGAGGCCAGCCUCAGCAAUUUCCACUCAGCGAGACCCUGUCUCUA